RNAcentral lists this ribosomal RNA (38 nucleotides) under Plasmodium berghei ANKA. RNAcentral's name for it is "Plasmodium berghei rRNA SSUE". Lineage: Eukaryota; Apicomplexa; Aconoidasida; Haemosporida; Plasmodiidae. The record is from RNAcentral. RNAcentral also lists the same sequence under 2 other names.
UUGCCUUGUACACACCGCUCGUCACGCAAAUUAUUAUA